AACAUUAACUAUAUUAAGUUGCUUCAAACGACUCUCAAGUUGUUUUUCGGGUUGAGCCAAUUAAUCAAGUGUGUUAAUAAAUAUUUCAAUCAUUGGCCGAAGCCUAUGAAAUCUAAUCCGACUAUCCGACACUGUUUAACAUCAUCGCCCGGGAUUAUUGAGUAUCAAAAACCCAACAGGUCAGUAGUGAACAAAGUUGGAAUAAUGUAGAUAGCACCAUAGUGAAUUGAGAUUAGAAAGCAUAGACAGGAUUGAGAUACAUUAGACGACAUGCUAGAGGUAAAUAAGACCACACUGGACACUACUGGGUAGAUUCAUCCUUGCGCAGGGGCAUGCUAAUCUUCUUUCGGACAGAGAAGAUUAACAUGGUCCCUGCGCUAGGAUGACCACAUAAAUCAAGAUCAAAUUGGAACCAUACAGGGAGGAUUAACAUGGCCUGUGAAAGGAUGAUCCCGCACAAAUCAAAAAAUGGUCAAAAAAAUUAGACACAAUCGAGAUAAAUUAAAUAGAACUCGAUAAGAUUGUGUUGGAGAAAUUUUUAUUGUGUGUCCAGCAUUGAAUACCAAACAUGCGGAAGUGCGUGCUUGUCGAUUGCUUAAUAGUUGCAAAUAGUUUGCUGCUUCAAAGAUUAAGAUAUGCUGUGUGUUGUUAUCUCAUUAUUGAUUGUCCAUUGAUGAAAAUCAGGAAAAAGUCAUUAUAAAUCCAUUUUAGUUUGUUUAGGCUUUUUUGUUCCAAGGAAUGAAGACCCGGAGAAGUCCUAACUUGCUUGCACCCGAGAAAGACAUUAUUUAGGAACGUCGCCAAGCAAAGUGGCAACAAGAUUUUCCUUUCGCUGAAAGAGCACUAGCAGAAGAAUAAUAUCUACCCAUAUAAAUAUCUUGAUUUGGUGAUUGAUUGAUGAAUAUUUGAAUUGUAUCGAAUUUAAUGCAGGGGAAGCAAAAAUUGGACAUAUCUACAAAGAUGAAGUAGUUGAAAAGCACUUAAGGGCUGGAGACAUCCAUAGAAUUGAAGCAGGCUUGGCUUUUUAUCUGAUAAAUACAGAAGAAGGUCGAACACUAAAUACAAUAUGUAGUAUCGACUCAUCUAAGAGCUUGGAAUGGCGCGCAUUCAAGAGGUUUAACCAAUAUUCAUACGGUGCAGUCUUUCUUCAUUGGUGGAGGAACAUAUCCAAUGUCAAUACUUUCAGGUUUUUAUCCCUUAAAACUGUCAACGGCAUUUAAUGUUUCUGUAGCCAAAUUAAAGGAACUGUUGACGCGGCAGCAAGCUGGUCCAAUAAUUUCUCUAUCCAAUUCUCAUUCCCCGAGCAUAUGGACUGGGUUUUUUGGGCCUCGAGCAUCAUCAGAAACAGGCUCACUUAAAGAGAGUUGUUCAUUUGAAGCAAAAAUAUAGUGAAGAAAAAGAACAACCAAAAUGGUCACUCAGAAGCUUUUGAUCUCUGCAUUAGGAAAGGCAGAAAAGAACAAAAUCAACAAAAAAGGUAAAGGGCCCAGAUCUUAUAAUAUCUAUGACAGAAAGCCUGAUUUUAAGAACAACUAUGGAUGCAACAUUGCUUUGGACUAGUCUGAUUACUGGCCCCUGGGAAAAUUGGACACUGGCAUUUAUCUUGUCAAUCUCUCCACGGGCUCGAUGAUGGCACCGCACAUCAAUCCAAGGGUGACUCUAAGUAUGGCAUUGUACUGAGAGGAGCCGGUACAAUUCAAAUUGCAUAUCCUAAUGGAAGUCUAGCCAUGAAUGCCAAGAGUAACCGAAAGCAAUGUGUUCUGUAUUCCAAGAUACUUCCCGUUCUGCCAAGUUGCAUCGAGAUCUGGUCCUUUUGAGUUCUUCGGUUUCACCACAUCUGUGCACCAGAACCGGCCUCGGUUCUUGGUGGGGACAAACUAUUGCUGCGAACCAUUAGAGGGCCUGAAUUUGCAAAUGCAUUUCGAGUGAGUGAGGAGAGGCUGAGCAAGAUACUCAACUCAUAAAGAGAGUCAAUUAACUUGCCAUCGGCCUCCAUCGCACCACCUGACGAGACGGGAUGAGACAAUGGAAAUGGAGAUGGAGAAGUCUGAGAUGGUACCAUGUAUGAUCAGGAGAUUUGGCAAUGAAAUGAUCAUGGGGUUUGAUCAAUAGGCAAGUUUCUAGUAUUUGAGAAAAGGCUGGAGUCCAUUUUCCAAUUGUCUUUCUUUUGUCUCAACAUUUUGAUGAUGUUUUCUUGAUCCUUUGUCUCUGCUGAGGUUGCGAUAAAUAGCACUUCUCUAUUUCUUUCAAUGCAUUACUAAAUAGCCCUCUUCUUAUGGAUUACCUGAAUUGGGUAUUGCAUUUGACAAUCUAAUGGUAGUGUUUUUAGGUCGA
Molecule: long non-coding RNA, 2334 nt
Organism: Olea europaea var. sylvestris
Lineage: Eukaryota; Viridiplantae; Streptophyta; Magnoliopsida; Lamiales; Oleaceae
Exons: 4
Source: RefSeq, a predicted model, not a curated record